RNAcentral lists this ribosomal RNA (701 nucleotides) under uncultured Oscillatoriales cyanobacterium. RNAcentral's name for it is "bacterial SSU rRNA". It matches the Rfam family "Bacterial small subunit ribosomal RNA", at positions 94 to 825 of the family's 1533-position model. Lineage: Bacteria; Bacillati; Cyanobacteriota; Cyanophyceae; Oscillatoriales. The record is from RNAcentral.
AGUGGCGGACGGGUGAGUAACGCGUGAGAAUCUGGCUUCAGGAGGGGGACAACAGUUGGAAACGACUGCUAAUACCCCAUAUGUCUACGGAUGAAACGGUGAAUUCCGCCUGAAGAUGAGCUCGCGUCGGAUUAGCUAGUUGGUGAGGUAAAGGCUCACCAAGGCGACGAUCCGUAGCUGGUCUGAGAGGAUGAUCAGCCACACUGGGACUGAGACACGGCCCAGACUCCUACGGGAGGCAGCAGUGGGGAAUUUUCCGCAAUGGGCGAAAGCCUGACGGAGCAACGCCGCGUGCGGGAAGACGGCCUGUGGGUUGUAAACCGCUUUUCUCUGGGAAGAAUAAGUUGACGGUACCAGAGGAAUCAGCAUCGGCUAACUCCGUGCCAGCAGCCGCGGUAAUACGGAGGAUGCAAGCGUUAUCCGGAAUUAUUGGGCGUAAAGCGUCCGCAGGCGGCUUAUCAAGUCUGCUGUUAAAGGUCGGGGCUCAACUCCGGUUAGGCAGUGGAAACUGAUAGGCUAGAGUGUGGUAGGGGUAGAGGGAAUUCCCAGUGUAGCGGUGAAAUGCGUAGAUAUUGGGAAGAACACCAGUGGCGAGGGCGCUCUACUGGGCCACAACUGACGCUGAGGGACGAAAGCUAGGGGAGCGAAAGGGAUUAGAUACCCCUGUAGUCCUAGCUGCAAACGAUGGAUACUAGGUGUUG